Molecule: long non-coding RNA, 566 nt
Organism: Bos taurus (domestic cattle)
Lineage: Eukaryota; Metazoa; Chordata; Mammalia; Artiodactyla; Bovidae
Source: Ensembl
UUUUUUAGGAAAUAGUCCAAAUCUCUGGCUGCACAGAGGAGGGAGGACCAGAAUGAAUGAAUGAAUGUUCUCUCAGGAAACAGAUCUGAGAAAAGAGAAUCUUGAAGGAGCUGUGAUCCCAGCAUGUGAUUUUCUUCUCUGAAAUUCAGCGAGAUGUAUCACUCAUCAGGCUUCGAAGGAAUUAGAGAAGUUUUGGGACAGUUGUAAAUAGAGGUGCUAUGAACAGAUGCUUUCAUUUAUCCUGAGAGACUUACUUGGCUGCAAGGAGAUGGAACUGGGCUUUUGGAGGACAGAUUCCUUUUUUUUUUUUUCUGGUUUCUGGUGUCCGCUGUUUCAUCCCCUGUAUUGCUGUCCAACAAGAUGAUCCUGCUUUUAUCUGACAUUUCACAGGUUUCUGUGACUGAGAUCUAUAGUCACACUGUUGGCAUCCUGCUAUAAAGAUAUCUCUAAUUAUAUACUUCUUCUCAAUCUCAUGACUUCAGUGACCCACUGGAAUCUUUCAACACUUCUCUGUCCAUUCACUGGGGCACAUGCACCCUUGGACAUCCUGAGCACUGUAUGUAGAC